This 257-nucleotide long non-coding RNA is filed under the name Phoenix dactylifera (date palm). Its description in RNAcentral is "long non-coding RNA (PDAC_LNC020947)". Lineage: Eukaryota; Viridiplantae; Streptophyta; Magnoliopsida; Arecales; Arecaceae. The record is from RNAcentral.
UUGGGCCCAGUCCAGUCCGGUUGGGCCCAGUUGGGCAAUACCCCCAUGGGCCCAACUUGGAUCCAGAUCAAACUCGAGAAUCCGAACCCGAACCCGAAACCCAAACCCAUUUGACCAAUAAACAGAUUUUUUGCAGUUAAGCCCUUGGCAGUAUGCUAUUUCAGAAAUAGGGACUCCUGUAAUUUGUAUUUGAUCCCUAUAGGAAAGAUUUAUUACAUAAAGGCCCCCAACUAUAUUUAUUUAGUCCCCUCACUCAA